GACGAACGCUGGCGGCGUGCUUAACACAUGCAAGUCGAACGGUGAAGCGCCUUCCUUUUUGGUGGGUGUGGAUGAGUGGCGAACGGGUGAGUAACACGUGAGUAACCUGCCCCCUUCUUCUGGAUAACCGCAUGAAAGUGUGGCUAAUACGGGAUAUUCUGGGUCUGUCGCAUGAUGGGUCUGGGAAAGAUAUUGUUUCGGUGGGGGAUGGGCUCGCGGCCUAUCAGCUUGUUGGUGGGGUGAUGGCCUACCAAGGCGGUGACGGGUAGCCGGCCUGGGAGGGUAGACGGUCACACUGGGACUGCGGCACGGCCCAGACUCCUACGGGAGGCAGCAGUGGGGAAUAUUGCACAGUGGGCGCAAGCCUGCUGCAGCGACGCCGCGUGAGGGAUGGAGGCCUUCGGGUUGUGAACCUCUUUCGCCAGUGAAGCAGGCCUGCCUCGUUUGUGGGUGGGUUGACGGUAGCUGGAUAAGAAGCGCCGGCUAACUACGUG
This 494-nucleotide ribosomal RNA is filed under the name uncultured bacterium. RNAcentral describes it as "partial 16S ribosomal RNA". It matches the Rfam family "Bacterial small subunit ribosomal RNA", at positions 28 to 507 of the family's 1533-position model. The record is from RNAcentral.